RNAcentral lists this long non-coding RNA (654 nucleotides) under Zea mays. RNAcentral's name for it is "long non-coding RNA NONZMAT000437". The record is from RNAcentral. Lineage: Eukaryota; Viridiplantae; Streptophyta; Magnoliopsida; Poales; Poaceae.
CGCAAGCGAAGAGUGAAAACGGUGCUCGGGUUCUAGCGAUUACGAGGGUAAGGACCUCACCUUGAAUUGGGGCGUCAGCGGCUUUGCCCACGCAGUGGCGGGGAUCCACGGCGGCGCCAGGCUUCGACGAGCCAUUUCCCGAGCUCCGUCCGUCCAUUCAUCAAAUUGGCGGUCGAGAUAGCUUCCCCAUGACCAGGCGAUACCUCGCACCUACUUCAUGGUCCCCGGCCGCCGAUAGAUGCGAGGAACGACACUGGUGGUGGGUUUCCUCCACACAACACCGGUGAUGGUGCCAGGCCGACGCAAGAUGGAUGGAGGAAGGGCCACGGAGUAUGGGUUUAUAGACCGCGGCGGAGUCUGACCUGAAGAUCAAUAUCAGCGGAAUCCACAGGGUUUGUUACGCGCCACCGUUCGCGUUGGGUGCGGAGUUCGGGUGUGAGGGACGAUUAUGACAGUGCGGACCCACCAACAAGUGAUCGAGUAAGGUUUGGGGAGGCUGGCAUGCAGGCCACAUGGGUUGGCAGUAGCGGCGCGGUAGACUUCUGGGCCGCGCGAAAUAGAAAAGGGUGUGGGCCGCGCGGGAUAAGCUGGGCCGGGGUAAUUCGGCCCAAGUAGCUAAGCAGAAGCCCCAUCUCUUGUCUAUUUCUUAUUUUA